GAUGAAGAACGUAGUGAAAUGCGAUAAGUAAUGCGAAUUGCAGAAUUCCGUGAGUCAUCGAAUCUUUGAACGCACAUUGCGCCCUCUGGUAUUCCGGAGGGCAUGCCUGUCUGAGCGUCAUUGUCAACCCUCAAGCUCAGCUUGCUGUUGGGUCCCCGUCGUUGCUUUAACGGCGGACCCGAAAGGUAAUGGCAGAGUCCGUGAGACCCUAGACGCAGCGAGCUUCUAGCACGCGUCUGGACGUUUUUCGGGCUCGGUCUUAACUAGAUGAUAACUUCCGAUUGACCUCAGAUCAGGUAGGGAUACCCGCUGAACUUAAGCAUAUCAAAGCGGAGGA
Molecule: unclassified non-coding RNA, 337 nt
Filed under: soil metagenome
Description: partial contains 5.8S ribosomal RNA, internal transcribed spacer 2, and large subunit ribosomal RNA
Rfam family: 5.8S ribosomal RNA (bases 1-120)
Source: RNAcentral